This 435-nucleotide unclassified non-coding RNA is filed under the name Hevea brasiliensis (rubber tree). The record is from RNAcentral. Lineage: Eukaryota; Viridiplantae; Streptophyta; Magnoliopsida; Malpighiales; Euphorbiaceae.
UUUCUUUAGAGAAGAAUUCUUUGGAUAGUUUUAAUGUAUUGUUUACUUGUAAAGCAUUAACAAAGUCUGGAAAGCUCCAUCUCUUAUAUGGAAUCUUUUUAUUCUGCAAGGCAUGCUGAAGCAAGAUGGAAUUUACAUCAACUAUCUGAUUUGCAAGGAAGCUCCUUUGGUUUUUCUCUCCAUAUCUGAAACCAUGAAAUAUAUGAUCUUGUUCCAUUUCAUGCAAUAUUUUCUUGGCUGCUAUGAGGCGUUUCUGAGACUUUUUUCUCUCUUUCCAUUCAAGCUGUCGCCUCUCUUUCUUGGACCUCUCCAUAUCUGAAACCAUGAAAUAUAUGAUCUUGUUCCAUUUCAUGCAAUAUUUUCUUGGCUGCUAUGAGGCGUUUCUGAGACUUUUUUCUCUCUUUCCAUUCAAGCUGUCGCCUCUCUUUCUUGGAC